UGGGGAAUAUUGCACAAUGGGCGCAAGCCUGAUGCAGCCAUGCCGCGUGUAUGAAGAAGGCCUUCGGGUUGUAAAGUACUUUCAGCGGGGAGGAAGGCGAUAAGGUUAAUAACCUUGUCGAUUGACGUUACCCGCAGAAGAAGCACCGGCUAACUCCGUGCCAGCAGCCGCGGUAAUACGGAGGGUGCAAGCGUUAAUCGGAAUUACUGGGCGUAAAGCGCACGCAGGCGGUCUGUCAAGUCGGAUGUGAAAUCCCCGGGCUCAACCUGGGAACUCCAUUCGAAACUGGCAGGCUAGAGUCUUGUAGAGGGGGGUAGAAUUCCAGGUGUAGCGGUGAAAUGCGUAGAGAUCUGGAGGAAUACCGGUGGCGAAGGCGGCCCCCUGGACAAAGACUGACGCUCAGGUGCGAAAGCGUGGGGAGCAAACA
RNAcentral lists this ribosomal RNA (427 nucleotides) under uncultured bacterium. RNAcentral's name for it is "partial 16S ribosomal RNA". It matches the Rfam family "Bacterial small subunit ribosomal RNA", at positions 355 to 774 of the family's 1533-position model. The record is from RNAcentral.